This 23-nucleotide non-coding RNA is filed under the name Cricetulus griseus (Chinese hamster). Lineage: Eukaryota; Metazoa; Chordata; Mammalia; Rodentia; Cricetidae. The record is from RNAcentral.
AGGGAACUCAGAAGGAGGAGGCU